This 159-nucleotide ribosomal RNA is filed under the name uncultured bacterium. RNAcentral describes it as "partial 16S rRNA". It matches the Rfam family "Bacterial small subunit ribosomal RNA", at positions 355 to 507 of the family's 1533-position model. The record is from RNAcentral.
UGGGGAAUCUUGCACAAUGGGCGAAAGCCUGAUGCAGCGACGCCGCGUGAGCGAUGAAGGCCUUCGGGUUGUAAAGCUCUGUGGGGAGAGACGAAUAAGUGCUGGCUAACAUCCAGCGCGAUGACGGUAUCUCCUUAGCAAGCACCGGCUAACUCUGUG